Molecule: ribosomal RNA, 492 nt
Filed under: uncultured bacterium
Lineage: Bacteria
Description: partial 16S ribosomal RNA
Rfam family: Bacterial small subunit ribosomal RNA
Source: RNAcentral
AGUGAACGCUGGCGGUAGGCCUAACACAUGCAAGUCGAACGGCAGCACAGUAAGAGCUUGCUCUUACGGGUGGCGAGUGGCGGACGGGUGAGGAAUACAUCGGAAUCUACUUUUUCGUGGGGGAUAACGUAGGGAAACUUACGCUAAUACCGCAUACGACCUACGGGUGAAAGCAGGGGAUCUUCGGACCUUGCGCGAUUGAAUGAGCCGAUGUCGGAUUAGCUAGUUGGCGGGGUAAAGGCCCACCAAGGCGACGAUCCGUAGCUGGUCUGAGAGGAUGAGCAGCCACACUGGAACUGAGACACGGCCCAGACUCCUACGGGAGGCAGCAGUGGGGAAUAUGGGACAAUGGGCGCAAGCCUGAUCCAGCCAUACCGCGUGGGUGAAGAAGGCCUUCGGGUUGUAAAGCCCUUUUGUUGGGAAAGAAAAGCAGCAGGUUAAUACCCCGCUGUUCUGACGGUACCCAAAGAAUAAGCACCGGCUAACUUCGUG